This 73-nucleotide transfer RNA is filed under the name Helotiales sp. Its description in RNAcentral is "tRNA-Met". It matches the Rfam family "tRNA". Rfam says of the family: Transfer RNA (tRNA) molecules are approximately 80 nucleotides in length. Their secondary structure includes four short double-helical elements and three loops (D, anti-codon, and T loops). Lineage: Eukaryota; Fungi; Ascomycota; Leotiomycetes; Helotiales. The record is from RNAcentral.
GCCAAGAUAGUUCAAUAGGUUAGAACAUUAAUUUCAUGCAUUAAGAAUGAGAAUUCAAUUUUCUCUCUUGGUA